This is a long non-coding RNA of Echinops telfairi (small Madagascar hedgehog), 248 nucleotides long. RefSeq lists it as uncharacterized. The transcript is spliced from 3 exons. The record is from RefSeq and is a predicted model, not a curated record. NCBI's taxonomy places the organism in Eukaryota, Metazoa, Chordata, Mammalia, Afrosoricida, Tenrecidae.
CCGUUUUAGGCACUUUGGAGUUUGACCUUCUGUAUGACCAGGCCUCCUGCACCCUGCAGUGCAGUAUCCUCAGGGCCAAGGGCCUCAAGCCCAUGGACUUCAAUGGCCUGGCUGACCCUUAUGUCAAGCUGCACUUGCUGCCUGGAGCCUGCAAGGCUAAUAAGCUCAAAACCAAGACGCAGAGGAACACGCUUAAUCCAGUGUGGAACGAGGACCUGACGUACAGCGGGAUCACGGAUGAUGACAUC